UUGUAAUUUAGAAGUAUCUUACAAAUACAUCUAAUUUUAUCCUUAGCACAUUAUUGUUUUAAAGUCGACAGAUAUUUUUUUCUGUAGCUACUUCUAAGUUCAACAACAUAAUGCUUUGAACAAAUUAAAUAGGACAAACAUAUCAUGAUUGAUAAUAAAGCACCCUUUAAUCCAAAAAAAUAUUUAAACAAAGAUCUUAUUGACAAACCACCACCUCUUGACGUGUGGAUACAAGGCACUAUUGAGCAAACAGUUGGAAAUGAUAUAUUAAUUAUUUCUGACAUAUCUGGAAGAGUAAAAGUUGUAAAAUGCCAAUCAGCUGAUGGAGUUGUGGAUAAGACUUCUUUACGUAAAGGAACUUACUGUUGCAUAUUAGGCAUAGCAACGAAAACAAGAGGAUUGCCUGAAGUCCAAGCUAUAAAAUUUGUUGAUUUAACAUCACAGCCACAAAUGAAAACUGCAUGGGAAAGUGAAGUUAGAGAAGCGGAACUAUUGCUACAAGGAAAACUCGUGCCAGAGAUUUAAACAACAUUUAUGAAAUACAUUUUAUUAUUCCAUCACCUUAAUUCAAUCUUUAUCUGGAAUGAAUAACAAUUAUAUAAAGAUAACAUUAUCUGAUUGUAAACAUAAUAUCUCUUAAAAUAAAUUAUAUUAAUUUUUUGU
This is a long non-coding RNA of Vanessa tameamea, 663 nucleotides long. RefSeq lists it as uncharacterized. The transcript has 2 exons. The record is from RefSeq and is a predicted model, not a curated record. NCBI's taxonomy places the organism in Eukaryota, Metazoa, Arthropoda, Insecta, Lepidoptera, Nymphalidae.